This 74-nucleotide transfer RNA is filed under the name prasinophyte sp. MBIC10622. Its description in RNAcentral is "tRNA-Asp". It matches the Rfam family "tRNA". Rfam says of the family: Transfer RNA (tRNA) molecules are approximately 80 nucleotides in length. The record is from RNAcentral. Lineage: Eukaryota; Viridiplantae; Chlorophyta. RNAcentral also lists the same sequence under 1 other name.
GGGAUUGUAGUUCAACUGGUUAGAGCACCGCCCUGUCACGGCGGAAGUUGCGGGUUCAAAUCCCGUCAAUCUCG